Molecule: transfer RNA, 73 nt
Filed under: Camelus ferus (Wild Bactrian camel)
Lineage: Eukaryota; Metazoa; Chordata; Mammalia; Artiodactyla; Camelidae
Rfam family: tRNA
About the family: Transfer RNA (tRNA) molecules are approximately 80 nucleotides in length.
Source: Rfam by way of RNAcentral
GAGGGUAUAGCUCAGUAGUACAGUGUGUGCUUUAGCACGCAUGGAGACUUGGGUUCAAUCCCCAGUACCGCCA